This 499-nucleotide ribosomal RNA is filed under the name uncultured eukaryote. RNAcentral describes it as "SSU rRNA". It matches the Rfam family "Eukaryotic small subunit ribosomal RNA", at positions 21 to 514 of the family's 1831-position model. The record is from RNAcentral.
UAGUCAUAUGCUUGUCUCAAAGAUUAAGCCAUGCAUGUCUAAGUAUAAACAACUUUAUACUGUGAAACUGCGAACGGCUCAUUAUAUCAGCAAUAAUUUAUUUGAUGGUUCCUUACUACAUGGAUAACUGUGGUAAUUCUAGAGCUAAUACAUGCGUAAAGUCCCGACUCUCGCGGGGAGGGAUGUAUUUAUUAGAUAAAAAACCAAUGCGGGUUCUGCCCGGUUUUGUGGUGAAUCAUAGUAACUUUUCGAAUCGCAUGGCUUCACGCCGGCGAUAGUUCAUUCAAAUUUCUGCCCUAUCAGCUUUCGACGGUAGAUUAGUGGCCUACCGUGGCAUUAACGGGUAACGGAGAGUUAGGGCUCGAUUCCGGAGAGGGAGCCUGAGAAACGGCUACCACAUCCAAGGAAGGCAGCAGGCGCGCAAAUUACCCAAUCCGGACACCGGGAGGUAGUGACAAAAAAUAACAAUACCUGGCCUUUUCAGGUCGGCUAAUUGGAA